CUACGGGAGGCUGCAGUGAGGAAUAUUGCACAAUGGGGGGAACCCUGAUGUAGCAACGCCGCGUGGAGGAUGACGCAUUUCGGUGUGUAAACUCCUUUUAUAUGUCAAGAAAAUGACGGUAGCAUAUGAAUAAGCACCGGCUAACUCCGUGCCAGCAGCCGCGGUAAUACGGAGGGUGCAAGCGUUACUCGGAAUCACUGGGCGUAAAGGAAGCGUAGGCGGGUUGGAAAGUCAGGUGUGAAAUCCUACAGCUUAACUGUAGAACUGCACUUGAAACUUCUAAUCUAGAGUAUGGGAGGGGGAGAUGGAAUUAGGGGUGUAGGGGUAAAAUCCGUAGAUAUCACUAGGAAUACCUAAAGCGAAGGCGAUCUCCUGGAACAUUACUGACGCUAAGGCGUGAAAGCGUGGGGAGCAAACAGGAUUAGAUACCCUUGUAGUC
This 439-nucleotide ribosomal RNA is filed under the name uncultured bacterium. RNAcentral describes it as "partial 16S ribosomal RNA". It matches the Rfam family "Bacterial small subunit ribosomal RNA", at positions 339 to 795 of the family's 1533-position model. The record is from RNAcentral.